CCUACGGGCGGCAGCAGUGAGGAAUAUUGGUCAAUGGGCGCGAGCCUGAACCAGCAAAGUAGCGUGAAGGAUGACUGCCCUACGGGUUGUAAACUUCUUUUAUAAAGGAAUUAAGUGAGGCACGUGUGCCUUUUUGUAUGUACUUUUUGAAUAAGGAUCGGCUAACUCUGUGCCAACAGCCGCGGUAAUACGGAGGAUCCGGGCGUUAACCGGAUUUAUUGGGUUUAAAGGGUGGGUAGAUGGGUUGUUAAGUUAGUUGUGAAAGUUUGCGGGUCAAACGUAAAAUUGCAAUUGAUACUGGCAGUCUUGAGUACAGUUGAGGUAGGCGGAAUUCGUGGUGUAGCGGUGAAAUGCUUAGAUAUCACGAAGAACUCCGAUUGCGAAGGCAGCUUACUAAACUGCAACUGACAUUGAUGCUCGAAAGUGUGGGUAUCAAACAGGAUUAGAUACCCUAGUAGUC
Molecule: ribosomal RNA, 460 nt
Filed under: uncultured bacterium
Lineage: Bacteria
Description: partial 16S ribosomal RNA
Rfam family: Bacterial small subunit ribosomal RNA
Source: RNAcentral